Molecule: ribosomal RNA, 253 nt
Filed under: uncultured bacterium
Lineage: Bacteria
Description: partial 16S ribosomal RNA
Rfam family: Bacterial small subunit ribosomal RNA
Source: RNAcentral
UACGUAGGGGGCAAGCGUUGUCCGGAAUCAUUGGGCGUAAAGAGCGUGUAGGCGGCCCGGUAAGUCCGCUCUGAAAGCCCGGGGCUCAACCCCGGGAGGCGGGUGGAUACUGCUGAGCUCGAGUCCGGAAGAGGCGAGUGGAAUUCCUGGUGUAGCGGUGAAAUGCGCAGAUAUCAGGAGGAACACCGAUGGCGAAGGCAGCUCGCUGGGACGGUACUGACGCUGAGACGCGAAAGCGUGGGGAGCAAACAGG